UUUUCGUAGGUGAACCUGCGGAAGGAUCAUUAUUGUAUAACCGAGGGGCGAGGGCUGUCGCUGACCCGAAAGGUCGUGCACGCCCGAGUGCCCUCACACACAUCCAUCUCACCCCUAUGUGCACCACCGCGUGGGUCCCCCUUUGGCUUGUUCGGAGGGGGGCUUACGUUUUCACACAAACUUUGUAUGCAGUGUAGAAUGUAUUUUUUGUUUUUGCGAUCACGCAAUCAAUACAACUUUCAACAACGGAUCUCUUGGCUCUC
RNAcentral lists this unclassified non-coding RNA (263 nucleotides) under plant metagenome. Its description in RNAcentral is "partial contains small subunit ribosomal RNA, internal transcribed spacer 1, and 5.8S ribosomal RNA". The record is from RNAcentral.